AAUGUGGAAUUCGCCCUUCUUGGUCAUUUAGAGGAAGUAAAAGUCGUAACAAGGUUUCCGUAGGUGAACCUGCGGAAGGAUCAUUAAAGAAAUUUAAUAAUUUUGAAAAUGGAUUUUUUUUUGUUUUGGCAAGAGCAUGAGAGCUUUUACUGGGCAAGAAGACAAGAGAUGGAGAGUCCAGCCGGGCCUGCGCUUAAGUGCGCGGUCUUGCUAGGCUUGUAAGUUUCUUUCUUGCUAUUCCAAACGGUGAGAGAUUUCUGUGCUUUUGUUAUAGGACAAUUAAAACCGUUUCAAUACAACACACUGUGGAGUUUUCAUAUCUUUGCAACUUUUUCUUUGGGCAUUCGAGCAAUCGGGGCCCAGAGGUUAACAAACACAAACAAUUUUAUCUAUUCAUUAAAUUUUCGUCAAAAACAAGAAUUUUCGUAACUGGAAAUUUUAAAAUAUUAAAAACUUUCAACAACGGAUCUCUUGGUCCUCGCAUCGAUGAAGAACGCAGCGAAAUGCGAUACGUAAUGUGAAUUGCAGAAUUCCGUGAAUCAUCGAAUCUUUGAACGCACAUUGCGCCCCUUGGUAUUCCAGGGGGCAUGCCUGUUUGAGCGUCAUUUCCUUCUCAAACAUUCUGUUUGGUAGUGAGUGAUACUCUUUGGAGUUAACUUGAAAUUGCUGGCCUUUUCAUUGGAUGUUUUUUUUUCCAAAGAGAGGUUUCUUCUGCGUGCUUGAGGUAUAAUGCAAGUACGGUCGUUUUAGGUUUUACCAACUGCGGCUAAUCUUUUUUAUACUGAGCGUAUUGGAACGUUAUCGAUAAGAAGAGAGCGUCUAGGCAAACAAUGUUCUUAAAGUUUGACCUCAAAUCAGGUAGGAGUACCCGCUGAACUUAAGCAUAUCAAUAAGCGGAGGAAAAGAAACCAACCGGGAUUGCCUUAGUAACGGCGAGUGAAGCGGCAAAAGCUCAAAUUUGAAAUCUGGUACCUUCGGUGCCCGAGUUGUAAUUUGGAGAGGGCAACUUUGGGGCCGUUCCUUGUCUAUGUUCCUUGGAACAGGACGUCAUAGAGGGUGAGAAUCCCGUGUGGCGAGGAGUGCGGUUCUUUGUAAAGUGCCUUCGAAGAGUCGAGUUGUUUGGGAAUGCAGCUCUAAGUGGGUGGUAAAUUCCAUCUAAAGCUAAAUAUUGGCGAGAGACCGAUAGCGAACAAGUACAGUGAUGGAAAGAUGAAAGGAACUUUGAAAAGAGAGUGAAAAAGUACGUGAAAUUGUUGAAAGGGAAGGGCAUUUGAUCAGACAUGGUGUUUUGUGCCCUCUGCUCCUUGUGGGUAGGGGAAUCUCGCAUUUCACUGGGCCAGCAUCAGUUUUGGUGGCAGGAUAAAUCCAUAGGAAUGUAGCUUGCCUCGGUAAGUAUUAUAGCCUGUGGGAAUACUGCCAGCUGGGACUGAGGACUGCGACGUAAGUCAAGGAUGCUGGCAUAAUGGUUAUAUGCCGCCCGUCUUGAAACACGGACCAAGGGCGAAUUCCACAGUG
RNAcentral lists this ribosomal RNA (1515 nucleotides) under uncultured fungus. RNAcentral's name for it is "eukaryotic LSU rRNA". The stretch from base 845 to 1515 matches the Rfam family "Eukaryotic large subunit ribosomal RNA", at positions 1 to 688 of the family's 3401-position model. Lineage: Eukaryota; Fungi. The record is from RNAcentral.